UACGAAGGGGGCAAGCGUUGUUCGGAAUUACUGGGCGUAAAGGGCGCGUAGGCGGCCUUGUUUGUCAGGCGUGAAAGCCCUGGGCUCAACCCAGGAAUUGCGCUUGGGACGGCAAGGCUUGAGUUCGGGAGAGGAGAGUGGAAUUCCCAGUGUAGAGGUGAAAUUCGUAGAUAUUGGGAAGAACACCGGUGGCGAAGGCGGCUCUCUGGACCGAUACUGACGCUGAGGCGCGAAAGCUAGGGGAGCAAACAGG
RNAcentral lists this ribosomal RNA (253 nucleotides) under uncultured bacterium. RNAcentral describes it as "partial 16S ribosomal RNA". It matches the Rfam family "Bacterial small subunit ribosomal RNA", at positions 524 to 776 of the family's 1533-position model. The record is from RNAcentral.